Molecule: ribosomal RNA, 681 nt
Filed under: Hysterangium sp. MCA972
Lineage: Eukaryota; Fungi; Basidiomycota; Agaricomycetes; Hysterangiales; Hysterangiaceae
Description: eukaryotic LSU rRNA
Rfam family: 5.8S ribosomal RNA (bases 219-373)
Source: RNAcentral
UCAUUAACGUGGGUCGAGUUCUCUCGGCGGGCCUGGGCCCGUCUGGGAGCGACUUUUGUUACCGUCUCACCCCUGUGCACAUGGCGGACCGGCCUCCGUGGCAAGCCCGUCCCGAGGUGGUGGGGUUCACCCCUCUUCCUCGCAUUUCGAUGACGCCUGUAACAGAGUACGUAGUCGGCUCUACGGAGCCGGGGGGAAAAAUUGAAAUGACCGAGUACAACUUUCAACAACGGAUCUCUUGGCUUUCGCAUCGAUGAAGGACGCCGCGAACGCGCGAAACGUAAUGUGAAUUGCAGAAUUCAGUGAAUCAUCGAAUCUUUGAACGCACCUUGCGCUCCUUGGCAUUCCGAGGAGCAUGCCUGUUUGAGUGUCGUGAAAUCCCUCGACCCCUCGAGGCCCUCGGUCGCUCCUUGCACCCUUGGGCUGUCGUCCGGGUCGGAUUUGGAUGUCUUGCCGGUCCAUCCCUUGCGGUGGGACUGGCUCGUCUCGAAAUGCAUCGGCUGGCCGUUUUCCCCUGCGGACGGGCGUGAUAAGUGGAAACGCUCGCCCUCGUCCCCGGGGGUGAAAAAGGAAAGGCUGGCUCAAAGUCGUCUCGGAGCCUUCCGGACAACAAAAAAAGGGGGUUCACCCCCUGAGGUCUGACCUCAAAUCAGGUAGGACUACCCGCUGAACUUAAGCAUA